AGUCCAUGAUCGGGACACAACCUCAAUAAUUCUUUAAAUCUAUCCUAGGUGUCACAUAAAAACUCUCCUUUUUUUGAGCGAAAUUAGUGAUCUGGUUCCUAAAUU
Molecule: small nucleolar RNA, 105 nt
Organism: Dioscorea cayenensis subsp. rotundata (Guinea yam)
Lineage: Eukaryota; Viridiplantae; Streptophyta; Magnoliopsida; Dioscoreales; Dioscoreaceae
Source: RefSeq, a predicted model, not a curated record